This 252-nucleotide ribosomal RNA is filed under the name uncultured bacterium. RNAcentral describes it as "partial small subunit ribosomal RNA". It matches the Rfam family "Bacterial small subunit ribosomal RNA", at positions 26 to 285 of the family's 1533-position model. The record is from RNAcentral.
AGGACGAACGCUGGCGGCGUGCUUAACACAUGCAAGUCGAGCGGAAAGGCCCUUCGGGGUACUCGAGCGGCGAACGGGUGAGUAACACGUGAGUAAUCUGCCCCUAGCUCUGGGAUAGCUCCGGGAAACCGGGAUUAAUACCGGAUACGACCACCUUAGACAUCUUUUGUGGUGGAAAGAAUUUCGGCUAGGGAUGAGCUCGCGGCCUAUCAGCUUGUUGGUGGGGUAACGCUACCAAGGCGACGACGGGUA